AUGGGGCGGGUUCAACUUCCAAGGCACAAAUGCCAGUGGGAUUUUCAGGAAUUUCACACCACAGUUCAACUUCCAAGGCACAAUCCCGGUGGUUUUUGGGAAUUCUCUCAAUCCCAAGGCACAGUUUGGGAGGUUUUUCAGGAAUUUCACACCACGGUUCAACUUCCAAGGCACAAAUUCCAAGGCACAAAUCCAAGGCACAAAUUCCAAGACACAAUUCCGGUGGGAUUUUCAGGAAUUUCACACCACAGUUCAACUUCCAAGGCACAAUUCCAAGGCACAAAUUCCAGGACACAAUCCCAAGGCACAAUCCCGGUGGCUUUUAGGAAUCUCUCGACAUGGUCACAUUCCAAGAGCCUCUUUUUUAGGAAUUCUCUCACUUCCCAAGGCACAGUUUGGGAGGUUUUUCAGGAAUUUCACACCACGGUUCAACUUCCAAGGCACAAAAUUCCAGGACACAAUCCCAAGGCACAAAUCCCAAGGCACAAUCCCGGUGGUUUUCAGGAAUUUCUCGACACGGUCACACUCCAAGAACCUCUUUUUUUAGGAAUUCUCCAUUUCCAAGGCACAGAUUCCAAGGCACAGUUCCAGUGGGAUUUUCAGGAAUUUCACACCACAGUUCAACUUCCAAGGCACAAAUUCCAAGGCACAAAUUCCAAGGCACAAUGCUGGUGGUUUUUGGGAAUUCUCUCAAUCCCAAGGCACGGUUUGGGAGGUUUUUCAGGAAUUUCACACCACGGUUCAACUUCCAAGGCACAAAUCCAAGGCACAAAUUCCAAGGCCCAAAUUCCAAGGCCCAAUCCUGGUGGUUUUCAGGAAUUCUUUCCAAAGGCACAAUCCCAGUGGUUUUUCAGGAAUUCUCUCCCUUCCCAAGGCACAAUCCCAGUGGUUUUUCAGGAAUUUUCCCCCCACGGUUCAACUCCCCAAGGCACAAUUCCAGCAGUUUUUUCCCAAAUUUCUCAACACACUCCAAGAGCCUUUUUUUUAAUUUUUUUUAAGGAAUUUUCUCAGCUCUGA
This 1017-nucleotide long non-coding RNA is filed under the name Manacus vitellinus (golden-collared manakin). RNAcentral's name for it is "lncRNA (ENSMVIG00005010993.1)". The record is from RNAcentral. Lineage: Eukaryota; Metazoa; Chordata; Aves; Passeriformes; Pipridae.